This 24-nucleotide microRNA is filed under the name Brachypodium distachyon (stiff brome). RNAcentral's name for it is "bdi-miR7708b-5p". Lineage: Eukaryota; Viridiplantae; Streptophyta; Magnoliopsida; Poales; Poaceae. The record is from miRBase by way of RNAcentral.
CAUUACAAUUCUUGGGACAUUUGC